GACGAACGCUGGCGGCGUGCCUAAUACAUGCAAGUAGAACGCUGAAGGAGGAGCUUGCUUCUCUGGAUGAGUUGCGAACGGGUGAGUAACGCGUAGGUAACCUGCCUGGUAGCGGGGGAUAACUAUUGGAAACGAUAGCUAAUACCGCAUAAUAGCAGUUGUUGCAUGACAACUGUUUGAAAGGUGCAAUUGCACCACUACCAGAUGGACCUGCGUUGUAUUAGCUAGUUGGUGGGGUAACGGCUCACCAAGGCGACGAUACAUAGCCGACCUGAGAGGGGGAUCGGCCAACCUGGGACUGAGACACGGCCCAGACUCCUACGGGAGGCAGCAGUAGGGAAUCUUCGGCAAUGGACGGAAGUCUGACCGAGCAACGCCGCGUGAGUGAAGAAGGGUUUCGGAUCGUAAAGCUCUGUUGUAAGAGAAGAACGAGUGUGAGAGUGGAAAGUUCACACUGUGACGGUAUCUUACCAGAAAGGGACGGCUAACUACGUG
Molecule: ribosomal RNA, 495 nt
Filed under: uncultured bacterium
Lineage: Bacteria
Description: partial 16S ribosomal RNA
Rfam family: Bacterial small subunit ribosomal RNA
Source: RNAcentral